RNAcentral lists this ribosomal RNA (530 nucleotides) under Francisella tularensis subsp. holarctica. Its description in RNAcentral is "bacterial SSU rRNA". It matches the Rfam family "Bacterial small subunit ribosomal RNA", at positions 319 to 838 of the family's 1533-position model. Lineage: Bacteria; Pseudomonadati; Pseudomonadota; Gammaproteobacteria; Thiotrichales; Francisellaceae. The record is from RNAcentral.
CUGAGACACGGCCCAAACUCCUACGGGAGGCAGCAGUGGGGAAUAUUGGACAAUGGGGGCAACCCUGAUCCAGCAAUGCCAUGUGUGUGAAGAAGGCCCUAGGGUUGUAAAGCACUUUAGUUGGGGAGGAAAGCCUCAAGGUUAAUAGCCUUGGGGGAGGACGUUACCCAAAGAAUAAGCACCGGCUAACUCCGUGCCAGCAGCCGCGGUAAUACGGGGGGUGCAAGCGUUAAUCGGAAUUACUGGGCGUAAAGGGUCUGUAGGUGGUUUGUUAAGUCAGAUGUGAAAGCCCAGGGCUCAACCUUGGAACUGCAUUUGAUACUGGCAAACUAGAGUACGGUAGAGGAAUGGGGAAUUUCUGGUGUAGCGGUGAAAUGCGUAGAGAUCAGAAGGAACACCAAUGGCGAAGGCAACAUUCUGGACCGAUACUGACACUGAGGGACGAAAGCGUGGGGAUCAAACAGGAUUAGAUACCCUGGUAGUCCACGCUGUAAACGAUGAGUACUAGCUGUUGGAGUCGGUGUAAAGGC